Molecule: long non-coding RNA, 349 nt
Filed under: Salvia miltiorrhiza (redroot sage)
Lineage: Eukaryota; Viridiplantae; Streptophyta; Magnoliopsida; Lamiales; Lamiaceae
Description: long non-coding RNA (SMIL_LNC014259)
Source: RNAcentral
GCACACGCAUUAAAAAUAUGUAGGAGUAGUUAUUAUGAAAUCCUUCACAAAGCUUACCAAGUUCCUCUAUUUUUUGCUUUUUUUUUAGUUUAUUUUAAUUUGUUUCAUAACACCACCAUAUUUAGGUUGGCCAAAUUAACUAUCUAACCAUACCUAUAAGGCUAUAAACGAUAGAGUCCCGACGUUAUCAUGGCCCAUAAACUUUUCAAUAUUUAGUUAAAUAUUUGUUAAUUUCAUAAUAAUAGAUGUAUAGUACUCCCUCUGUCCCGCAAAUUUUGAGUCAAUUCUUUUCGGCACGAGAAUUAAGAAAAUGAUAUUUAAUGUGUUAAGUGCGGUAGGUGAAAAAGUG